AGAGAGAGUCAAACAGUACGUGAAACCGUCAGGAGGGAAACGAACGGGGUUGGUGCAGUGAUCGUGCAGGUUCAAGUGCUGCCGAAGGUGCCGACGGGAGGGCGGAGAUCGUCCCCCGCCGUCCACCGGAGGCGGCAUCGUACUCCUCGCGAUCGCGGACCAGCGGCGGUUGGACCGGCGCCAAAAGGCAGCCCGGAAGGUGAGUCGACGUGGGCUCGUCCUGCAUUGACAGCUUACAGACCCGUUGUCCGGUGCGCCGAUCCGACCGAGGAACGAGGGCAGCCCCUGCCCGCCGUGGUGUACGCCGUACGGCGGGGCCUCCCGACACGAGCGAGUCGUGCGACGUGGACUGCGUGCAGUGCUAGCCGUGGCGGUAAACUCGUGGCGGUGAGUGCCACCCGUGCACCAGUGCCGCUGGUAUUCAGACGGCCUCGUUCGACCCGUCUUGAAACACGG
This 456-nucleotide unclassified non-coding RNA is filed under the name Collospongia auris. RNAcentral describes it as "sequence contains 28S rRNA gene". Lineage: Eukaryota; Metazoa; Porifera; Demospongiae; Dictyoceratida; Thorectidae. The record is from RNAcentral.